UACGUAGGGGGCAAGCGUUGUCCGGAAUCAUUGGGAGUAAAGCGCGUGUAGGCGGCUCGGUAAGUCUGCUCUGAAAGCCCGGGGCUCAACCCUGGGAGGCGGGUGGAUACUGCUGAGCUCGAGUCCGGAAGAGGCGAGUGGAAUUCCUGGUGUAGCGGUGAAAUGCGCAGAUAUCAGGAGGAACACCAAUGGCGAAGGCAGCUCGCUGGGACGGUACUGACGCUGAGACGCGAAAGCGUGGGGAGCGAACAGG
RNAcentral lists this ribosomal RNA (253 nucleotides) under uncultured bacterium. RNAcentral describes it as "partial 16S ribosomal RNA". It matches the Rfam family "Bacterial small subunit ribosomal RNA", at positions 524 to 776 of the family's 1533-position model. The record is from RNAcentral.